AAAUACGUGCCCGUACCGAAAACCGACACAGGUAGAUGAGGAGAGAAUCCUAAGGCCGGCGGGAGAAGCAUUGUUAAGGAACUCGGCAAAAUGACCCUGUAACUUCGGGAGAAAGGGUGCCAGCGAGAGCUGGCCGCAGAGAAUAGGCUCAAGCAACUGUUUAGCAAAAACACAGGUCUAUGCAAAACCGAAAGGUGAGGUAUAUGGGCUGACGCCUGCCCGGUGCUGGAAGGUUAAGAGGAGAGGUUAGAGAAAUCGAAGCUUUGAAUUUAAGCCCCAGUAAACGGCGGCCGUAACGAUAACGGUCCUAAGGUAGCGAAAUUCCUUGUCGGGUAAGUUCCGACCCGCACGAAAGGCGUAAUGAUUUGAGCGCUGUCUCGACAAUGCACCCGGUGAAAUUGAAAUACCAGUGAAGAUGCUGGUUACCUGCGCCAGGACGGAAAGACCCCAUGGAGCUUUACUCCAGCUUGAUACUGGGAUUCGGUACUGCAUGUACAGGAUAGGUGGGAGGCUAUGAAUCAUGGACGCCAGUCUGUGAGGAGCCGCUGUUGGGAUACCACCCUUGCGGUAUUGGAUUUCUAACCUGCAGCCGUCAGCCGGCUGGGGGACAAUGUCAGGCGGGGAGUUUGACUGGGGCGGUCGCCUCCGAAAGGGUAUCGGAGGCGCUCAAAGGUUCCCUCAUAAUGGUUGGAAACCAUUAGAAGAGUGCAAAGGCAUAAGGGAGCUUGACUGCGACACCGACGGGUGGAGCAGGUAGGAAACUAGGACUUAGUGAUCCGGUGGUAAGAAAGUGGGAUUGCCAUCGCUCAACGGAUAAAAGCUACCCUGGGAUAACAGGCUUAUCACUCCCAAGAGUUCACAUCGACGGAGUGGUUUGGCACCUCGAUGUCGGCUCAUCGCAUCCUGGGGCUGUAGCAGGUCCCAAGGGUUGGGCUGUUCGCCCAUUAAAGCGGUACGCGAGCUGGGUUCAGAACGUCGUGAGACAGUUCGGUCCCUAUCCGGCGCGGGCGGAGGAUAUUUGAGAGGAGCUGUCCUUAGUACGAGAGGACCGGGAUGGACGGGCCGCUGGUGUAUCUGUUGGCUGCCAAAGCCAUGGCAGAGUAGCCAAGCCCGGACGGGAUAAACGCUGAAGGCAUCUAAGCGUGAAGCCCCCCUCAAGAAGAGAUAUCCCAUUCCGCAAGGAAGUAAGACCCCUUGAAGACGACGAGGUAGAUAGGUCAGAGGUGGAAGUACAGUAAUGUAUGGAGCUGACUGAUACUAAUCGGUCGAGGGCUUGACCU
RNAcentral lists this ribosomal RNA (1280 nucleotides) under metagenome. Its description in RNAcentral is "bacterial LSU rRNA". It matches the Rfam family "Bacterial large subunit ribosomal RNA", at positions 1632 to 2925 of the family's 2925-position model. The record is from RNAcentral.